CAACCGGGAUUGCCUUAGUAACGGCGAGUGAAACGGCAAAAGCUCAAAUUUGAAAUCUGGUACCUUCGGUGCCCGAGUUGUAAUUUGGAGAGGGCAACUUUGGGGCCGUUCCUUGUCUAUGUUCCUUGGAACAGGACGUCAUAGAGGGUGAGAAUCCCGUGUGGCGAGGAGUGCGGUUCUUUGUAAAGUGCCCUCGAAGAGUCGAGUUGUUUGGGAAUGCAGCUCUAAGUGGGUGGUAAAUUCCAUCUAAAGCUAAAUAUUGGCGAGAGACCGAUAGCGAACAAGUACAGUGAUGGAAAGAUGAAAAGAACUUUGAAAAGAGAGUGAAAAAGUACGUGAAAUUGUUGAAAGGGAAGGGCAUUUGAUCAGACAUGGUGUUUUGUGCCCUCUGCUCCUUGUGGGUAGGGGAAUCUCGCAUUUCACUGGGCCAGCAUCAGUUUUGGUGGCAGGAUAAAUCCAUAGGAAUGUAGCUUGCCUCGGUAAGUAUUAUAGCCUGUUGGGAAUACUGCCAGCUGGGACUGAGGACUGCCACNUAAGUCAAAGGAUGCUGGCAUAAUGGUUAUAUGCCGCCCCUCUUGA
RNAcentral lists this ribosomal RNA (579 nucleotides) under Saccharomyces cerevisiae (brewer's yeast). RNAcentral's name for it is "eukaryotic LSU rRNA". It matches the Rfam family "Eukaryotic large subunit ribosomal RNA", at positions 66 to 657 of the family's 3401-position model. The record is from RNAcentral. Lineage: Eukaryota; Fungi; Ascomycota; Saccharomycetes; Saccharomycetales; Saccharomycetaceae.